UAAUUGAAGAGUUUGAUCAUGGCUCAGAUUGAACGCUGGCGGCAGGCCUAACACAUGCAAGUCGAGCGGCAGCGGGAAGAUAGCUUGCUAUCUUUGCCGGCGAGCGGCGGACGGGUGAGUAAUGCCUAGGGAUCUGCCCAGUCGAGGGGGAUAACAGUUGGAAACGACUGCUAAUACCGCAUACGCCCUACGGGGGAAAGGAGGGGACCUUCGGGCCUUCCGCGAUUGGAUGAACCUAGGUGGGAUUAGCUAGUUGGUGAGGUAAUGGCUCACCAAGGCGACGAUCCCUAGCUGUUCUGAGAGGAUGAUCAGCCACACUGGGACUGAGACACGGCCCAGACUCCUACGGGAGGCAGCAGUGGGGAAUAUUGCACAAUGGGCGAAAGCCUGAUGCAGCCAUGCCGCGUGUGUGAAGAAGGCCUUCGGGUUGUAAAGCACUUUCAGUAGGGAGGAAAGGUAGUAACUUAAUACGUUAUUGCUGUGACGUUACCUACAGAAGAAGGACCGGCUAACUCCGUGCCAGCAGCCGCGGUAAUACGGAGGGUCCGAGCGUU
RNAcentral lists this ribosomal RNA (554 nucleotides) under Shewanella sp. ULN5. RNAcentral describes it as "bacterial SSU rRNA". It matches the Rfam family "Bacterial small subunit ribosomal RNA", at positions 1 to 542 of the family's 1533-position model. Lineage: Bacteria; Pseudomonadati; Pseudomonadota; Gammaproteobacteria; Alteromonadales; Shewanellaceae. The record is from RNAcentral.